UCCCUGGUGGUCUAGUGGUUAGGAUUUGGCACUUUCACUGUCAUGGCCUGGGUUCAAUUCCUGGUUGGGGAG
Lipotes vexillifer (Yangtze River dolphin) is the source of this 72-nucleotide non-coding RNA. Lineage: Eukaryota; Metazoa; Chordata; Mammalia; Artiodactyla; Lipotidae. The record is from the annotation of a RefSeq genome assembly.